Molecule: signal recognition particle RNA, 148 nt
Filed under: Gorilla gorilla gorilla (western lowland gorilla)
Lineage: Eukaryota; Metazoa; Chordata; Mammalia; Primates; Hominidae
Description: Metazoan signal recognition particle RNA
Rfam family: Metazoan signal recognition particle RNA
About the family: The signal recognition particle (SRP) is a universally conserved ribonucleoprotein. It is involved in the co-translational targeting of proteins to membranes. The eukaryotic SRP consists of a 300-nucleotide 7S RNA and six proteins: SRPs 72, 68, 54, 19, 14, and 9.
Source: Rfam by way of RNAcentral
GCCGGGUGUGGUGGCGCAUGCCUGUAGUCCAAGUUACUUGGGAGGCUGAGGUGGGAGGAUGGCUUUAGCCCAGGAGGUGGAGGUUGCAGUGAGCUGAGAUCAUGCCACUGCACUCCAGCCUGGGCAACAGGGCCAGACCCUGUCUUAA